This 301-nucleotide ribosomal RNA is filed under the name uncultured bacterium. RNAcentral describes it as "partial 16S ribosomal RNA". It matches the Rfam family "Bacterial small subunit ribosomal RNA", at positions 510 to 808 of the family's 1533-position model. The record is from RNAcentral.
AGCAGCCGCGGUAAUACGUAGGGUGCGAGCGUUAAUCGGAAUUACUGGGCGUAAAGCGUGCGCAGGCGGUUUUGUAAGACAGGCGUGAAAUCCCCGGGCUCAACCUGGGAAUGGCGCUUGUGACUGCAAAGCUAGAGUGCGGCAGAGGGGGAUGGAAUUCCGCGUGUAGCAGUGAAAUGCGCAGAUAUGCGGAGGAACACCGAUGGCGAAAGCAAUCCCCUGGGCCUGCACUGACGCUCAUGCACGAAAGCGUGGGGAGCAAACAGGAUUAGAUACCCGUGUAGUCCCUGUCUCUUAUACA